AGUAAGAGUAUAUGGUGAAUGCCUUGACAUAAGAAGACGAUGAAGGACGUAGCAGCCUGCGAUAAGCCGCGGUGAGGUGGCAAGCAACCUUUGACCCGCGGAUCUCCGAAUGGGGAAACCCCUUCCGUUGAAGACGGAGGACGCCCAAUCUUUAAGAUAGGGCGGGAAGACCCGGUGAACUGAAACAUCUUAUUAGCCGGAGGAAAAGAAAAUAAUAAUUAUUCCCCAAGUAGUGGCGAGCGAAAGGGGAGAAGUCUAAACCCAAAUAACUGAGAAAUUAGUCCGGUUCGCCGGAUUUAUUUCAGAAGGUUCUGGAACCACAUGUUUUUUCGGUGUUGCAAGACCUAAGACCUGUUGCCAGAUCAACAGGACGAAGUAAAAAAAGAUUACUCUUAGCAGAACGAGUUGGAAAGCUCGGCCAGAGACGGUGAUAGCCCGGUACGCGAAAAGAGAAGUCACUUCGUUUUAGUGUUCUUAAGUAGGGCGGGACUCGUGAAAUCCCGUUUGAAGCCAGGCCGACUAUGGCCUAAGACUAAAUACUUCUUAUGAUCGAUAGUGAACUAGUACCAUGAGGGAAAGGUGAAAAGCAUCCCGAUGAGGGAGGUGAAAUAGUACCUGAAACCAUAUACUUACAAAGAGUCGGAGCCCCGCAAGGGGUGACGGCGUGCCUAUUGAAGAAUGAGCCAACGAGUUUGUUCUACGUGGCUAACAUAAUCUCCUUUGGAGAGCAUGUAUAGUGAAAGCGAGGGUUAAUAGCCCGUUUGUGUAUCGCUUUCGUGAGCACUAAUUUAUUAGUGCCCCGGGAGUGAUACAUUCGUNNNNNNNNNNNNNNNNNNNNNNNNNNNNNUAUGGGAUGACUUGUGGUUAGCGCAGAAAUUGUAAUCGAACUCGGCAAUAGCUGGUUCUCCUCGAAAUAGCUUUUGGGCUAGCCUCGGACGUUGACCGCAGGGGGUAGAGCACUGGAUGAGGGCGGGUCGCAAGAUACCGUCUUCAAUCAAACUCCGAAUACCUGUGGGUAUAGUCCGGGAGUCAGACUGCGAGCGCUAAGGUCCGUUAGUCGAAAGGGAAACAGCCCGGAUCACAAUCUAAGGUCCCUAAAUCUAUGCUAAGUGUCAAAGGUGGUGUUGUGACUGCGACAGUUAGGAGGUUGGCUUAGAAGCAGCCAUCCUUUAAAGAUAGCGUAACAGCUCACUAAUCAAGUCGUUUCGCGCCGAAAAUUUAUCGGGGCUAAGCAUAGUACCGAAGAUGUGAACUUUCUAAUUUAUUUUAGGGAGUGGUAGAGGAGCAUUCCCUUCAGCGUUGAAGUCGUGUUGUGAGGCACGGUGGAGCGGAGGGAAGAGAGAAUGUUGGCAUGAGUAGCAAAAAGGCGGGUGACAACCCCGCCCAUCGAAAACCUAAGGUUUCCUGGGCAACGCAAAUCGCCCCAGGGUUAGUCGGUCCUAAGGUGCCGUCCAUGUUGUGUGGGCGUUUAACCGAUGGAUGAGACGGUUAAUAUUCCGUCACUACUACUGUUUUCCGAAGGGGGGACGCAGUUCUCUAGUUUAAGCGUGCUAUGGUAUGUACGUUCCUGGCCUCAAGAAACGACCUUGGCAAAUCCGGGUCACCAGUUUCAAGGAGCAGGGAGAAGAGAAAGUCGCAAGAUGGACUCAAUUUAAGCGUCAGAACUGACUAGAAAAUCCUCUAGGGCUAAGGCAGUAGCAACCGUACCGUAAACCGACACAGGUAGGUGAGGCGAGAAGCCUCAGAUGUACGAGAGAAACUUC
This 1763-nucleotide ribosomal RNA is filed under the name Candidatus Falkowbacteria bacterium CG10_big_fil_rev_8_21_14_0_10_37_18. RNAcentral describes it as "bacterial LSU rRNA". It matches the Rfam family "Bacterial large subunit ribosomal RNA", at positions 1 to 1703 of the family's 2925-position model. The record is from RNAcentral. Lineage: Bacteria; Candidatus Falkowiibacteriota.